This 428-nucleotide ribosomal RNA is filed under the name uncultured bacterium. RNAcentral's name for it is "bacterial SSU rRNA". It matches the Rfam family "Bacterial small subunit ribosomal RNA", at positions 354 to 796 of the family's 1533-position model. The record is from RNAcentral.
GUAGGGAAUAUUGGACAAUGGGGGCAACCCUGAUCCAGCGACGCCGCGUGAGUGAUGAAGGCCUUCGGGUCGUAAAGCUCUGUUGCAGGGGAAGAACACAAUGACGGUACCCUGCUAGAAAGGAUCGGCUAACUUCGUGCCAGCAGCCGCGGUAAGACGAGGGAUCCUAGCGUUGUUCGGAAUUAUUGGGCGUAAAGCGGGUGCAGGUGGCUUGGUAAGUCAGAUGUGAAAGCCUGGGGCUUAACCCCAGAAGUGCAUUUGAUACUGCUGAGCUUGAGUGCUGGAGAGGCUAUUAGAAUUCCUGGUGUAGUGGUGAAAUACGUAGAUAUCAGGAGGAAUACCGGAGGCGAAGGCGGAUAGCUGGCCAGACACUGACACUCAGACCCGAAAGCGUGGGGAUCAAACAGGAUUAGAAACCCCUGUAGUCC